CAACUUUCAACAACGGAUCUCUUGGCUCUCGCAUCGAUGAAGAACGCAGCGAUAUGCGAUAAGUAAUGUGAAUUGCAGAAUUCAGUGAAUCAUCGAAUCUUUGAACGCACCUUGCGCUCCUUGGUAUUCCGAGGAGCAUGCCUGUUUGAGUGUCAUUA
Molecule: ribosomal RNA, 158 nt
Filed under: Melanoleuca sp. MCVE 24095
Lineage: Eukaryota; Fungi; Basidiomycota; Agaricomycetes; Agaricales; Pluteaceae
Description: 5.8S ribosomal RNA
Rfam family: 5.8S ribosomal RNA
About the family: 5.8S ribosomal RNA (5.8S rRNA) is a component of the large subunit of the eukaryotic ribosome. It is transcribed by RNA polymerase I as part of the 45S precursor that also contains 18S and 28S rRNA.
Source: RNAcentral